Molecule: long non-coding RNA, 3076 nt
Organism: Cydia fagiglandana
Lineage: Eukaryota; Metazoa; Arthropoda; Insecta; Lepidoptera; Tortricidae
Exons: 2
Source: RefSeq, a predicted model, not a curated record
AUGUAUGAAAGAUGCCCAUCCAGGGCGAAAACCAACCAGGAAAUGAUCUCAAGCCUAACUAUCCCUGGGAUGACACAAUCAAAAUAACCAGUAACUAAUGAAAUUCAUGGAACAGUUUUGUAUGUAAGUAUAACUUAAAGAAAUAAAUCAUAUUUAAUUAUUUAAACAUAUUUCAACCUAUUUUGUAUUUAUAAAUUGAGUUUUUGAUUUAAAUAUUUAUUAAUAUUAUUCCAUAAAUUUAGGAUUUAAUUUGAAGUAGCAACACCAUCCGAUUUAAUUAGUUUCUAAUUGGCCAAAUGGCUGUCAUUCGUUUUGUUGCUACAUCCAUGACUUUCUUGCCAUGAAACAAAACUAUAUUAUAUUCGAGACAAUCCUAAAAACGUUAAACUGAAUUACACAUGCAAAGUGCCGUGUCACAAUACCCCUCUCCCCGCUGUUGCGUUUUACCAAGGGUAAAACGCUCGCUGUCCUCAGCGACUAUCUAAUUCUAAAUCGUGUGUCACAGAAACGAAAAAAAACACAAACAAAACAACCUCAACCAUACUUAGUAUGGGAGAACCCGAAACAAAAACCACCACCGAAGUGAUUGCCGUAGGAUCGAGAUUCCUAUCCAACCGAAAAGCCAAAGUAAACCACACAACUCCACAUACCAAAACCAAUAAACCAUAAAUUUUUUAAUUUCUAUCUCGAACCCACACAACCUAAAUACAAAAAAAAUGUGGUAUCCGCACUGCCGGAAAAAUCCACACCGCAAUAUCCAACUAACCAGUUAACCAUCCCUUGGUUCUACCAGCACAACUUUACCCAGUUGCGCUGGCAAAACCAAACCAACUGCCAGGACUGAUGAUCAGCAUUCCAAACUUAUCUCUACUAGACCGGGCAAAAUAAAAAUUCCGAAAUAAUUCCUACUUCGAAGUUUACUUUAUAAACUUGAGAAGUUAAUUAAAAUUCCAAUCCAAAAUAUAAUUCGUAAUUCCGAAAUUUCCAUUCUAAUCCUAAAAUGUUGCAACCCUACAGGUUGAGGACACCAAUAACUGUCUCAACCCUUCAGGUUGACAACCCAAACAAAAACCCAAACCAACAAAAUACCAAUCCUCGAAAAAACCAACAACAAACGGUUGAAUUGGACACAUCUUAGCUGUGCCAACUCUUCCAUUAUACAAAGCUAACCAAACCAUACCAAACAUCUGGGCCCUUCGAGUUGGUAAGAGUAACCUAUCCCCCAACUCUCCGGAUCACAAAACAAACCAACCAAAACCUUACACAACUCUGAGGUUGCAACAUGCCCAAAAUCUCAACCGUUUGGUUGAGUACAGAAACAAUAUCGCACGCCAGGCAUGAAUGACGGCGAUACCGCGUGUCGCAUCUUCGCCUACAAAAUAUUUCUCGUUGUAUCGGCAGCGCGAACACAAAAAAUCGUGUGCCUCACCAACGCCUCUAUGGCUUGGACUUAUGGGCAACACGUACACAAAAAGAUACCCACCAGCGAGUACCAGUCGACGCUAAAAAGAGCAAGAACCCAUCGGAGUACACAAAAAAGAACGCAAAACGUCCGUGGUAUGCAGUGCGCGCCCCGCCAUACCUCACAAAAUCUCCUGGGUGUGGACCCCUGUCGACCCAAAACACAAAACGCACCAACACGGCGCUCGGGUGUGGUAAGCACCCGAUAACUUCUCAAAAAACCUAUUGGCCGUAUUAAGGAUCGCUCCAAAACUUAAAAAAUGAGCUAGAUUGUAACGCCCCUUUCAUACUUCACGCAUUUAGAGAACUGUUCCAAGAACCCUUUCAUUCAUCACACAAAACAAAAAAUAGUAGUGAAAACAGACAUUGCUGCUCACCACGUUCCGUACAUACAGUCGUGAUUGAAUAUUUUUACCACAAUAUCCAACACUCCAAACGAAACAACCGUAGAACGAAACGUUAUGGCGUAAGCGAGGGCGUUUACUCUGGCGGCAAGGUGAAAGCUAAAAAACCGGGACCUUGCGUCCAGAGAAAACUUCCACCUCCACAAAACCUACCAAAAAACCUUGUGUCUACAUCCUUAAUACGCCACGAUCCAAACUCAAAGUCCAGAAUCCAAGACUACUCCAACCUAGCACCAUACAAAACAAACUUUCACUGAACUUAAACUUGGUGCUAAAAAAACACUAUCGUAACAUUCGUAACGUUACAUCAUUAAAUGGAAUGUUUUGAAACACCCCUUAAUGAUAAACCAAGUUAAUCAAUAACUUCAAAAAACGAGCGUUUAUUAAACGCUGACACGUUACGAUUCUUAAGUUUGGACCCUAAAAAUAUCAUGUUUCUGAACGCACCCUUUGUUGAACUUAUUUAUUUACUCUAUGGCAUAUCGUCUAUGCUUUUAAAAAGUUAAAUGUCACUGAGAUAUUUUGCGAAUUCUAACCUUACCUACCAAAAAAAACUUUCGCCGCAUUUAUUACUAGAUUCAUCUAUACUUCAGCCACUAUUAAACAACAAAUUGGAAAACUAGAUACGAGUGUGAUCAACUUCGAACUAAUACAUACUUAGAACUUCAAUAUCUAGUUUGUCAAAAUGCGAACUUGAAAUGGAAUUAAAUCUACUAAUAAACACAGAAUCCUAUAUAACUGUGCUAAAUUUGAACAACAGACCACCAUAAAAGCAAUAGAUAUCCAGCUAUGCCUAUAACUGGACACCGGACUAUAGGAAUUUGUAACUUCAGAAAUCAAUGAAAAAAUAUGGGAACACAGGCACUGGCAGUGCGCAGAAGUAGUAUAUCUUCAACAAAUCAAAAUCGUUUCUAAUCAGGAACACAACAGAAGUCACUUGCCGGAGACUAUCAACGUUGCUGCUGCGGUCGGACACAAACACUGCCCCUUCACAGCCGUUCCUGCAAGCUUCCAACUACUGCCAGCGACGCCUCUGUGUGGAUCUACACCUCAUAAAUAAGUUCAACGGGCAUUAAACAUUAAAAGUGUACUGAAACCGCCAUUGUAUAAUAAGUUUAACUCAAAAAUAUUUAAAUAUGAUGGCAAAAGACUUACAAAUUGAUGUGGCACUAUUGUAUCAUUUCUAUUUAUAAUAAACAAUGCUAUAUCUA